UACAGAGGUCUCAAGCGUUGUUCGGAUUCAUUGGGCGUAAAGGGUGCGUAGGUGGCGCCGUAAGUGAGGUGUGAAAUCCCGGGGCUUAACCCCGGGACUGCAUUCCAUACUGCGGUGCUUGAGGACUGGAGAGGAGACUGGAAUUUACGGUGUAGCAGUGAAAUGCGUAGAGAUCGUAAGGAAGACCAGUGGCGAAGGCGGGUCUCUGGACAGUUCCUGACACUGAGGCACGAAGGCCAGGGGAGCAAACGGG
This 253-nucleotide ribosomal RNA is filed under the name uncultured bacterium. RNAcentral's name for it is "partial 16S ribosomal RNA". It matches the Rfam family "Bacterial small subunit ribosomal RNA", at positions 524 to 776 of the family's 1533-position model. The record is from RNAcentral.